GGAGUUAGCCGGUGCUUCUUCUGUGAGUGAUGUCCUUCCUGCCGGUUAUUGACCCGCAGGCCUUCUUCCUCACUGAAAGUGCUUUACAACCCGAAGGCCUUCUUCACACACGCGGCAUGGCUGGAUCAGGGUUGCCCCCAUUGUCCAAUAUUCCCCACUGCUGCCUCCCGUAGGAGUCUGGGCCGUGUCUCAGUCCCAGUGUGGCUGAUCAUCCUCUCAGACCAGCUACGGAUCGUCGCCUUGGUGAGCCGUUACCUCACCAACCAGCUAAUCCGACAUAGGCUCAUCCGAUAGCGCGAGGCCCGAAGGUCCCCCGCUUUCCCCCGUAGGGCGUAUGCGGUAUUAGCCUGGGUUUCCCCAGGUUAUCCCCCACUACCGGGCAGAUUCCUAUGCAUUACUCACCCGUCCGCCGCUCGCCACCAGGGAGCAAGCUCCCCGUGCUGCCGCUCGACUUGCAUGUGUUAGGCCUGCCGCCAGCGUUCAAUCUGAGCCAGUANACACACUCANAGAGCGGCGGNGCGACGACGC
This 528-nucleotide ribosomal RNA is filed under the name uncultured bacterium. Its description in RNAcentral is "partial 16S ribosomal RNA". The record is from RNAcentral.